Molecule: long non-coding RNA, 354 nt
Organism: Episyrphus balteatus (marmalade hoverfly)
Lineage: Eukaryota; Metazoa; Arthropoda; Insecta; Diptera; Syrphidae
Exons: 3
Source: RefSeq, a predicted model, not a curated record
UAUAAGCUUCAACCGCUUCUGGCUGCUCUGACGAAUGUUUUUUUCCAUCACAACCAUAUUUUUACAACCAGGCGAUGACACGAUGAAAACAAUGGCCAUACCGAAAAAGUGUCGGACUGAUAUUGUUUCGGCGAAAUGCUAUCAUAGCUUCAUAUAGCUCUCAGCUCAUCGUAAAACGUGUGUAGUAGAACUGUUUGUUUGCUUGUUUCAAGAUUAAUCUUAUUCUGAUGGGGUUGGUUUUCUUCUGUGGCUUCACUGAACAUUCAAACUACACUAACCAACUACGAGGAUUCUAACAGAAUCGGAGUUAUUAUUUUUUUUUGUGUUUCCAAUUUUAUUUUGUUUAAUAAAUCU